AUUUUCUAGUAAAAAUACAUUUAUAUAUGAUUUGUAGCCAAAUGAUAUAUUAUAUGUCAUAUUAUACAAACAUGGCAUGUAUAAGAUGUAUGAUUUUACAUAAUAUAGAUACUCCUCUACUUAUGAUAGGGUUAUGUCCAAAUAAAUCCAUUGUACAUUGAAGAUAUCAUCAGUUGAAAAAUGCAUUUGUUUAGUAGAUUUAACCUAGCAAGCAUGGGAGCUUAGCCACACAAUCUGCAGUCAAUUAGCAGUUACUUCCCUUCUUGAUCAUGUGGCUGACUGGGAGCUAUAGCUCAGGACUGCUGCCCAUCAUGAGAAAGUAUCAUCCUGCUUAUUGCUAGCCAGGAAAGGAUCAAAAUCCAAAUUCAAAGUAUGAUUUCUACUGAAUGCACAUCACUUUUGCAUCAUUGUAAAAUAAAAAAAAUAGACAUAAAUCAAACCAUUGUUAAUUGGGGACCAAAGUUUAUAAUAUAUAAUUUGUAUAUAUAAUUUGAUUAAAUAUUAUAUACUACUCACUCUACAAACAGAGACAGUAGGAAGGCCAUGUAGCAUGACUACUGGAACCAACUCUAUAUGUUUCAGAGCACAGGUCUGCCCCUUGCUAGCUAAUACAACUUUGGAUGCUUCACUUAAUUUUCUGAAGUCUUAUUUUUCUCAACCUUAUGGGGUGGGAAGAGAAUUAAUAUAUUUUGUAUGAAAUAAGGGAAUACAUACAAAAUACUUAGUGGGGUGGCUGGCACUUGCUAAGCAUAUAAUAGGUGGUAGAAAGACCAUGAAAGGGUGGUUAGCAGCAGCAGUAAGCAGCCUUGUAAGUGUCCAGAAAUCCCCUGGCUUGUCCCAAUUCUAGUGGUCACGUUACACUUUUUGUAAUAUGUAAUUUGGAUUUCAAAAGCAAAGCAUGGAUUUAAAAAUUCUAAAACAAGGAAAAAUGAUUUGAGGUUUUCAAACAAGCACUGGGUUGGUUAGUUUUUGAAUAGUCAGGGUGGUGGGACAUAAGAGAAUGUAAUAAUCAAUACAAGGAAGAGUUGUGAACACAUCAAUUUACUAUGUGGUUUGUGAUUACAGAGUCCUUAUAGGAUACUUUGUGUGGUGGGAGAAUACUUACUUAAAGUUACUCUUCAAUUUUAAAGAGUUCACAUAAGGGUCAAGAUGAACCAACAUGAGAGCCACAACCUUAAAACUUCCCAAACAUUAUUUGGCUGAGACCUUUUCAGCCAACAGAAUUCUGCACAUGACUUGCCUCAGUUUUUCUGUCUGUACCCCUAGAAAUGCUACUGAAGAUUUCUGAAACGUGUAUCAGGGGGAAAAGUUCUGCUUACUUUGAAUCUAAAAGUUGGUAGUCAGUUAGCAUUUGGGACUUCCCCCUCCAGGUAUUUAAGGAAGGAAAAUGGGCUUCAGGAAUCUUAGCAAAUACUUCAUCCAUAAAUAGGCCAUUAAGCACUUAGUGUUUCAUCUCACUAAGGAUAAACUUAAUAGUUGUGGAAAGAAAAAAAAACAAAUAAAAGGAAAAAUUUCUCAGGUUUAUUGAGAGAAGAUUUUUAUUUGGUAAAUUUAGGAAAGAGAAAGAUUAAGAAAUGCAUGUAUCAGGGUUCACAUUUGAUAAUAUUGUCAUCACUAAAUUUGUCUAGGGAGACAACAUGCCACAUUUAAAUGAUUACUGUGUACAGAGAUUUCAAAUUACUGUAUAUAAAUUUAAACCUCUGUGUUUACACAUGUGUGCCAAACAGCUUUUUUUUUAACGUUGCCAUAUAUAGCAUUCUGAUAUUUCUUUGCAUAAGGUUCUCAAAAUACUAAAGCAACCCCAGCCCUAAAUUACCCUUCCUUUUAAAGGAGAUAUCAUUAACUUUCUUGGUGAUGGGGAGCUAGAUCAGGUGAGUGGCAUGCCUUACAUUCAUAAAGUCAAUGGCAUCAUUGUUGCAAAAAUAUGUAGAAAGUAGAGCUCCAAUUCCAUGAAGUUCAAAAAUACCCUGGUGUAAUGGGUACAUCUCAUAAUACUGAAAGGCAAAUGGGAGAUGCUUUAGUUGAACAACUAUAAAUCCUGAGUCUUUGAGGUAGAUUAGAAACACAUUUUCUGUGUAUCAAAGAAGGCAGUAUAAAAGAGAAAAUAAUUCUGUCCUUACCUAGCAUAUGCUGCAUGCUAUUUGCCAGUAUAGAUUAUACCCUCAUCCCUGAAGGAUAUUUUUACUAGAUAUAGAAUUCUAGGCUGACAGAUUCUUUUCUUUUUUCUCUUUAAAGAAAUUCUUUCUCUGUAUGUGGCCCUUGCUGUUUUUGUUGAGAAAUCUAUAGUCACUUAAAGGGUUGUUCCUCUGUAAAACUAUAACCUUUUUACCUGACUUUUUACAACAUUUUUUUGUUUGUUUUUGUCUGUUUAUUUUGACAGAUCUAGGUUUUUGUGUAUAUGGGGUUUGGGGAGUUAUUUGUUCUAUUUGUGUUUUUUUGACUUUUUGCAACUGUAAAUUUAUCUUUUUGCCAAAUUUGAUAAAAUUUUGGCCACUACUAUUUCCAUGUUUUGUUGUUGUUGUCAUUGUUCUAUUUUUACCUUUCUCUGUCUCUCUUCUGUCUCUGGACUUCAGUUAUAACCAAGUUGUACCGUUUGAAAAUACCCACAAGUCUCUGAGCUUCUUCUCCCCCAAACCCUGCAAUCAUUUUUCUCUCCAUUCUUCAGAUUAGAUCAUUUCUGUUGCUCUAUCUUCAUGUUUACUAACUCUUAUGCUUCUUCAAGUCGACUAUUAACUUCAUCCAGUAAAAUUUAACAUUUUAAGUGUUGAAUUUUUCAGGUCAAAAAUUUCUCCUUGGGCUGGGGAUGUGGCUCAAGUGGUAGUGCGCUCGCCUGGCA
This 2836-nucleotide long non-coding RNA is filed under the name Marmota monax (woodchuck). The record is from RNAcentral. Lineage: Eukaryota; Metazoa; Chordata; Mammalia; Rodentia; Sciuridae.